RNAcentral lists this ribosomal RNA (300 nucleotides) under Triticum aestivum (bread wheat). Its description in RNAcentral is "partial small subunit ribosomal RNA". The record is from RNAcentral. Lineage: Eukaryota; Viridiplantae; Streptophyta; Magnoliopsida; Poales; Poaceae.
AUGGACAAGGUGCUGGCCUUCUCCAUCCUGAGCGCGUCGCCGGCUGACGUCGCCCCCGGCGCCGGCUCCGGCAACAGCUGGGCUCGGCUCUCCUGGCAGCGGCAGGGGAGGAGGCUGCAGGAGCAGCAGGACGACGACGACCAGGCUAGAGCAGGGCAAGACGGAAAGCAGCGCGGUCUGCCGGCUGAGGCGGAGCAGCAGCCGGACAAGGGGAAAUCGCAGUCACCGCCGACGUUGAGGGCGCGGUUCGCGCCGGAGUUCGAUGGGAUCGACUGCUUCGGGACCAUCGUGUGCCACUGA